Unclassified non-coding RNA from Callithrix jacchus (white-tufted-ear marmoset), 295 nucleotides. It matches the Rfam family "Metazoan signal recognition particle RNA". Rfam says of the family: The signal recognition particle (SRP) is a universally conserved ribonucleoprotein. It is involved in the co-translational targeting of proteins to membranes. The record is from Ensembl. Lineage: Eukaryota; Metazoa; Chordata; Mammalia; Primates; Cebidae.
AGGUGCAGUGGCACGUGCCUGUAGCCCACCUACUUGGGAGGCUGAGGUGGGAGGAUCUCUUGAGCCCAGGAGUUCUGGGCUGUAGUGUGUUAUGCAGAUUGGGUGUCCGCACUAAGUUCAGCAUCAAUAUGGUGACUCCUGGGAGCGAGGGACCACCAGGUUGCCUAAGGAGGGGUGAACCAGCCCAGAUCAGAAAGGGAGCAGGUCAAAACUCCUGUGCUGAUCAGUAGUGGGAUCGCACCUAUGAAUAGCCACUGCACUCCAGCCUGGGCAACAUAGCGAAAUCCCAUCUCUU